ACAUUAAAAAGUGACUAUAUACUUAUCCAAGGAGAAUUUGGGCCUGAACCUUGGCAUAGCUGGCCAGAAGAUGGCUACUUGGGCAGUAGAGGUGGGAACUGGGUGCUUGGGAGGGUUACUUGUAAAAGACCUGAGGUCUGACUCCAUGGUACAAACCAGUUCCUCACUCACCUUCUGCAAGGUCGUGGGUAGGUCCAGGUGUAAGGGUGGUUCCUGCACCUCAUGGGGGACAGGGACCACAUGGGCCAUCCCUGGGAAAGGUGGUCACCACGUGUUUCUCUUCCAGCAUCGUUCCAGCACAUGAGCACAUGUGGGUGUGUAUGGAUGCUGCCUGGGGGAGCACUGCCGGAGUGGAUUUCUAAUUAUAGCUAAUUGCAGGGCUGAUACUCUCUGGAUUUGGUCUGAUACAAGUCAAACGAUUUCCUGUUGUUCAGCCCUUUACAGACACGUAGCUGGAGGCACCGAGAUGGAUGUGUUUUCUGAAGGCAUCCAGCUGGGCAAACACACACUCUUCCUUUUCCUUCCUGUGCAUGGACGUCGGUGGAGCGAAACACCCCACCGCAGCCUCGCUCCGUGGUCUUGGGUGAUGUUAACACUCCAUUUUAUUAAAUAGCAUAGAAGUCCCUAAACCAGGUGAAAUGGUCAGGUUUAGUGAAGCUGAGGGCUGUUGGGUCGAGCAGCGGGGCUUGGCCACACUGAGCCCUGGGCUUCUGUGGUCAGACCUUCUCAGUCCCCCAAAGACAGCGCCUUUCUCCGCACAGCCUUGCAGCUGGCGUUGCUGGCAGCGCUUCGCAUCAAACCCUUAGGAAAGCUCUACACAGAUACACUUUCUGAAAAAUGGGAUCCAAAAUGCCUUAACCAUGUUCCCUGCAAUGGGACUAGGUGCAUUAAUUGGUUAAAUAUUUACACAAUGGUCAAAUAUUGCAUAGGAACUAGAUUUUAUCAUGAGUCGUUAAAUUCAUACGUUAAAGCCCAUUUUUAAUGUCCCCUAAUGGGGACAUUCAAAGUGUAUUUCAUGUAGUUGAUAGAGCUGUAAUGCUGUGCUGUCAAAGAUCCCAGCGAUAGAAGGGGAACUCGUUAGCCCAGGCGCCGGCCACACGAAGGGACAGGCAGAUCUCAAACACAGAAACGAUCAAAGUUAAACAAACGUUUAAGAAGAAAAGCAGCAGCUUCUUGAAAGGAAUCAGGUGAGUUUGACUCCAAAUGUAAUUUUUUUUUAUACUUUGGCUUGCACAUGAGCCAGGAUCCAAAACGAUGAUUUCAUAACCCUUAAGAUGUUUCAAACAAACAUUAUUAUUCUCUAGGAAAAAACGCCCCCCUCUCUCCCAGGUACGCUCUGCACACUGAAUCCACAGUCCUGAAAACCUGGAACUGAUGCCAAGCAUUUUAAUCUUACCAAAAGUAAAACAUGAGCACAAAUAUUACAUAAAAAUUGACUUUUAAAAUUUUUCCAGUGUUAACGUUGUAAGAGUCCCCGUAAGCGUAUUAUGUGACAUUGGGUCUGCUCAAUGCUUUUCAAAUGUUGCUGCUGUUACAGCAGGUGCUGGUCAUGUUUCUUUUCAGAUGUUUGUAGGAAAUUACGUGGAGAAAAAACUCUGCUUUAGGAAAAGCCCAAAGGCAAAUGGAAUGAACAGAAAGAGCAGAUUCUCCACGGACUUCUGAGUCUGGAGGUCUCCUGGAAGUCCUCCUGGUAGGAUGUGUUUCAGCAGGGUGGGAAGGCUGGGAGCCUGGAAGGAUGCUCACGGUGACUGCUGGGAUUCCAGAGGUUCGAACCAUCUCCUGCUCUCUUUGAGGCUGGCUGCAGGUAUCAAUGAGCGCACCUGCUUGGACACUUUUCAGCUCAGCAUCUUUUAAUGGAGGAGGGAGCACUGCUCGGAGGUCUGUGGAGGCAGCGAAGUCUCAGGCAGCCUUGCUCCUCUCCCAGGCGCAUGCUGCCCGCGAGGAGUGGGAAGGACAUCUCUAACCUCUAGAUGCUGCCGCCUGCGAAGCCCCCGGCAGCGGAUGGCCAUCAGCACGGCACCCUGGCUGGCCUGAGCAGCCUGGGGGAUGGGAGCACAGCGUCGGCCAGGCUCGCUGCCUUCGCCCCAGUGCCAAAUCAAAGCCUCCUCAUUUCGCUCUAGCUGAUGUUUUUGUGUGACCUCUCCCAUGGCAUGUGGAGUGGAGAAACGUCCUCCCUGCUUUUCCCACCAGAGGAGGUAAUGCUUUCAGAGAUCGCAUUGCUUCAGGUUUUGCCUGCUUGGGCUCGAGCAAAUGUAGCAGGAGUAUUUGUGAGUGGAGUGUGAUGAACCAUAAAUAAUGAGGAGAUUCCCAGGAAAGCAUCAUGGAGCUGUGGAGGAGAAGGCUGCCCGGCAGCUGGUGAGGUCGCCCAGUGACUCAUGUCCAGCUUUACAGGGACCUCCUGCCUGCCCAUGGGUAAGCCAUGGCUUGGUGACCGUAGGUAAGCCAUGGCACCGCGUCCUGCUUCGGUAUCUCCCCCUCAGAGUGGGAGGCAGAGCCAUGCAAGAUGUAUUAGCAGCCCCUGACCCAAGGGAUUCUUGGUUGUCUGCAUGACCCUUUGCAUCCUAGGGGGAUUAAACGAUCAGGCUGCUCGACAAAAUAGUGGGAUCGUCAAGGCAGAUAGAGAGGACGUGAUUAUGGGUCUGUUUUGCAGCAGCAGUUUCGCAGAUCUCAGGGGUCUAGUAGGGAAAUCUGUGAGGGCAAAGGGGUGCCUGGGACAAAAAGUGCUGUACCCCAAAAUUAGGAGACCCUGAAAGACAGCAUCCAAAAUAACAGCACACUCACUGGGCUCGUCCCCGGUGCUGGAGGGCCAAGGAUGUCUCUGUGCUGAGGCUUGGGAAUGCAGAGGCAUGGCACUGCCCAGCAGUGGGAGGCAUUUUUCUGAAAGCUUCUCCUGAACUUUUAAAGUAUUUUUUCAGCUUCAAAACCUGUAUAUUAUAAAGAAAAAUUCCUCACGUUGUUAGCAUCACUUUCAGCCAGCAGCUAUCAUUAGUUCCAGAGUCUGUUGCCAGCAGCAGCACCGGUGAUUUACUUCGUCUGCUGCAAGGCUAGAGGAUGAGCCACUUUCGCCUUUUCUGAGUUUCCCACAUUGCCUCUUUGCUCAUGAGGAAGCAAAAUUCCUCAUGAAAAUUGGGCUGCCACCACAUCAGGAGACUGCCAGCUACCGCCUCCAGGUGUGGCUGUCUUGGAACGCAUUUAAAAACCCACUCUGAACCCAUUUCUCCUCCUCUGUAUUUUUCCCAAUAUAGUUUUCCUCCUCAGCCUGAGCUCCUGGUGCUGGUUUGAAGGGAUGGCCGCCCUCUGCUACUGGCCAGGUGGCCAGUGGCAUGUCCUGUGCCGGAGCAACCCGUCCUGAUCCCACUGAGGUGGUUUGUUUGCCAUGCUUGGUUUUGCUCCCCUGCUCACCCCAUCACGCUGCUCCUAUUUUUAAUACCAAGGAAUAAACCCGUCUCUUCGCUACAUCUCUUACACGUCGCAAGCAGCACAAGGAGAUGCUUUCCUCGGCUGGAAUGACAGCCCCCGGUGUUAUGCUGGGAAAAGCUGCCGACUACAAGCCCCGGGAGCUCCUGUAGUUCUUUCAGGGAGAACAAGCUGCAGCCAAGCCAGGAAAAC
Falco peregrinus (peregrine falcon) is the source of this 3609-nucleotide long non-coding RNA. RefSeq lists it as uncharacterized. Lineage: Eukaryota; Metazoa; Chordata; Aves; Falconiformes; Falconidae. The record is from RefSeq and is a predicted model, not a curated record. The transcript is spliced from 5 exons.